This 785-nucleotide ribosomal RNA is filed under the name Ammonia sp. genotype T6. Its description in RNAcentral is "SSU rRNA". It matches the Rfam family "Eukaryotic small subunit ribosomal RNA", at positions 1298 to 1768 of the family's 1831-position model. The record is from RNAcentral. Lineage: Eukaryota; Foraminifera; Rotaliida; Rotaliidae.
UUCGUGGAGUGAUCUGUCUGCUUAAUUGCGUAUCAAUAAUAGAGACCUAGUAUACGCGUAGACUCAUGCGGUAGUGACCCCCCUCCACAGGGCGCGUGUCGCACGUAUGUUAUACGCACAGGUCUCCGAUAGCAACGAACGUGACCGUACUCUAUUGUUGCAGCGACAAUACCUUUCAACGGGUAUUACUGCUGCUUAGCAAGAUUCGUCUUGCAUUAAACUAUAGAGACCGCUGUUUCUUCUUUAAACCAGAGGAAGGAUACGGCAAUAACAGGUCUGUGAUGCCCUCAGAUGUUCCGGGCUGCACACGUGCUACAAUGAUCAUUGCACUGUGCAUCUAACCCAAUGUGCGCGGACGCCGCCGUGCGUAUAUACUUUAUUGUGUAUGCGUAUCGUGCGUGCGACCGCGCCGAACCUGCUUCGAAAGUAAACAUUUCCAGCGGGUAAUCCAUUAGAAGUAAUGACUCGCAUAGACCAUGGCACACUAUAUGUACCCGCGGGUUCUACCCGGCUCGCCUUUGUGUGAGUGCAGUGCGUAGCUCGUUGUUUGGUACGUGCCACUCCGUAUUAAUUCAUACGUGGGGAUAGAUCAUUGUUUAAUUGUUGGUCUCGGUCUUAACUAGGAAUGCCUUGUACGGGUCUUUGGUUCAACAUACCACCCGGAAUACGUCCCUGCCCUUUGCACACACCGCCCGUCGCUCUUACCGAUGGAUUAUACUAUGAAUCUAUAGGACUGCCAAAGUUGCUCUUCGCGGCGCGCUUAGUGGAAAUAUAUAUGAAUAGUG